AAGUCGUAACAAGGUUUCCGUAGGUGAACCUGCGGAAGGAUCAUUAUCGAGUUACGGGACCCCGGGUCCCAACUCCCACCCUUUGUUUACUAUAACCUGUUGCUUUGGCGGGCCGUGCCUUCGGGUAUCGCCGGCUCCUCGGAGCUGGAGAGCGUCCGCCAGAGAACCUAAAAUUCAAUUUGAACAGUGAUGUCUGAGUCUAAUUAUAAUGAAUCAAAACUUUCAACAACGGAUCUCUUGGUUCUG
Molecule: unclassified non-coding RNA, 246 nt
Filed under: air metagenome
Description: partial contains small subunit ribosomal RNA, internal transcribed spacer 1, and 5.8S ribosomal RNA
Rfam family: Eukaryotic small subunit ribosomal RNA (bases 1-46)
Source: RNAcentral